GGGGGCGUAGCGCAGUCCGGUAGCGCACCUGUAUGGGGGGCAGGUGGUCGGAGGUUCAAAUCCUCUCGCCCCCA
RNAcentral lists this transfer RNA (74 nucleotides) under bacterium. RNAcentral describes it as "tRNA-Pro". It matches the Rfam family "tRNA". From Rfam's summary of the family: Transfer RNA (tRNA) molecules are approximately 80 nucleotides in length. Their secondary structure includes four short double-helical elements and three loops (D, anti-codon, and T loops). RNAcentral also lists the same sequence under 5 other names. The record is from RNAcentral.